GUUUAUGGUCAUACCACCCCAAACACACCCAGUCUGCACUGAUCUUGGAAGGUAAAGCAGGGUUAGACUGCUUAGUACUUAGUGCUUGGAUGGGAAAAAGUCCUAUCUUAAAAA
Ribosomal RNA from Cricetulus griseus (Chinese hamster), 114 nucleotides. The record is from Ensembl. NCBI's taxonomy places the organism in Eukaryota, Metazoa, Chordata, Mammalia, Rodentia, Cricetidae.